AACGAACGCUGGCGGCAGGCUUAACACAUGCAAGUCGAACGCCUGUAGCAAUACAGGAGUGGCAGACGGGUGAGUAACACGUGGGAACGUGCCCAAAGGUACGGAACAACUCCGGGAAACUGGAGCUAAUACCGUAUGUGCCCGAAAGGGGAAAGAUUUAUCGCCUUUGGAUCGGCCCGCGUCUGAUUAGCUAGUUGGUAGGGUAAUGGCCUACCAAGGCGACGAUCAGUAGCUGGUCUGAGAGGAUGGCCAGCCACACUGGGACUGAGACACGGCCCAG
RNAcentral lists this ribosomal RNA (280 nucleotides) under uncultured bacterium. RNAcentral describes it as "partial 16S ribosomal RNA". It matches the Rfam family "Bacterial small subunit ribosomal RNA", at positions 29 to 334 of the family's 1533-position model. The record is from RNAcentral.